UUUUUCUAGAUAAUGUAGGAUUUUACCUGGUUUUGUAUUGUGAGAUGCACCUAUGCAUUAAUUUGUUUAUAGUUGUAGCGCAGUGAUGAGGUUAAAUUAUUUAAGAGGACACAACAGGUUCCGAAUUGAAAUUUGAGCCCACGGAUGUGAACAAUUGAACUUUAUACCAAAGUAAGUUCUAGAGAGUUUUUAACGCAUCAAGAAAAAAG
RNAcentral lists this long non-coding RNA (209 nucleotides) under Hordeum vulgare. RNAcentral's name for it is "long non-coding RNA (HVUL_LNC013960)". Lineage: Eukaryota; Viridiplantae; Streptophyta; Magnoliopsida; Poales; Poaceae. The record is from RNAcentral.